AGUGAACGCUGGCGGUAGGCCUAACACAUGCAAGUCGAACGGCAGCACAGUAAGAGCUUGCUCUUACGGGUGGCGAGUGGCGGACGGGUGAGGAAUACAUCGGAAUCUACUUUUUCGUGGGGGAUAACGUAGGGAAACUUACGCUAAUACCGCAUACGACCUACGGGUGAAAGCAGGGGAUCUUCGGACCUUGCGCGAUUGAAUGAGCCGAUGUCGGAUUAGCUAGUUGGCGGGGUAAAGGCCCACCAAGGCGACGAUCCGUAGCUGGUCUGAGGGGAUGAUCAGCCACACUGGAACUGAGACACGGUCCAGACUCCUACGGGAGGCAGCAGUGGGGAAUAUUGGACAAUGGGCGCAAGCCUGAUCCAGCCAUACCGCGUGGGUGAAGAAGGCCUUCGGGUUGUAAAGCCCUUUUGUUGGGAAAGAAAAGCAGCAGGUUAAUACCCCGCUGUUCUGACGGUACCCAGAGAAUAAGCACCGGCUAACUUCGUG
RNAcentral lists this ribosomal RNA (492 nucleotides) under uncultured bacterium. Its description in RNAcentral is "partial 16S ribosomal RNA". It matches the Rfam family "Bacterial small subunit ribosomal RNA", at positions 29 to 507 of the family's 1533-position model. The record is from RNAcentral.